GACGAACGCUGGCGGCGUGCUUAACACAUGCAAGUCGAACGCUGAAGCUCAGCUUUUGUUGGGUGGAUGAGUGGCGAACGGGUGAGUAACACGUGAGUAACCUGCCUCCUUCUUUGGGAUAACGCCCGGAAACGGGUGCUAAUACUGGAUAUUCACUGGUCUUCGCAUGGGGGUUGGUGGAAAGGGUUUUUCUGGUGGGGGAUGGGCUCGCGGCCUAUCAGCUUGUUGGUGGGGUGAUGGCCUACCAAGGCUUUGACGGGUAGCCGGCCUGAGAGGGUGACCGGUCACAUUGGGACUGAGAGACGGCCCAGACUCCUACGGGAGGCAGCAGUGGGGAAUAUUGCACAAUGGGCGCAAGGCUGAUGCAGCGACGCCGCGUGAGGGAUGGAGGCCUUCGGGUUGUGAACCUCUUUCGCUCAUGGUCAAGCCGCAACAAUGGUUGUGGUGAGGGUAGUGGGUAAAGAAGCGCCGGCUAACUACGUG
Molecule: ribosomal RNA, 483 nt
Filed under: uncultured bacterium
Lineage: Bacteria
Description: partial 16S ribosomal RNA
Rfam family: Bacterial small subunit ribosomal RNA
Source: RNAcentral